This 301-nucleotide ribosomal RNA is filed under the name uncultured bacterium. RNAcentral's name for it is "partial 16S ribosomal RNA". It matches the Rfam family "Bacterial small subunit ribosomal RNA", at positions 509 to 807 of the family's 1533-position model. The record is from RNAcentral.
CAGCCGCCGCGGUAAUACAGAGGAUGCAAGCGUUAUCCGGAAUUAUUGGGCGUAAAGCGCGCGUAGGCGGUUUUUUAAGUCUGAUGUGAAAGCCCACGGCUCAACCGUGGAGGGUCAUUGGAAACUGGAAAACUUGAGUGCAGAAGAGGAAAGUGGAAUUCCAUGUGUAGCGGUGAAAUGCGCAGAGAUAUGGAGGAACACCAGUGGCGAAGGCGACUUUCUGGUCUGUAACUGACGCUGAUGUGCGAAAGCGUGGGGAUCAAACAGGAUUAGAUACCCCCGUAGUCCCUGUCUCUUAUAC